RNAcentral lists this ribosomal RNA (497 nucleotides) under uncultured bacterium. RNAcentral describes it as "partial 16S ribosomal RNA". It matches the Rfam family "Bacterial small subunit ribosomal RNA", at positions 28 to 507 of the family's 1533-position model. The record is from RNAcentral.
GAUGAACGCUGGCGGCGUGCCUAAUACAUGCAAGUCGAGCGAACAGACGGGGAGCUUGCUUCUCUGACGUUAGCGGCGGACGGGUGAGUAACACGUGGAUAACCUACCUAUAAGACUGGGAUAACUUCGGGAAACCGGAGCUAAUACCGGAUAAUAUUUUGAACCGCAUGGUUCAAUAGUGAAAGACGGUCUUGCUGUCACUUAUAGAUGGAUCCGCGCUGCAUUAGCUAGUUGGUAAGGUAACGGCUUACCAAGGCAACGAUGCGUAGCCGACCUGAGAGGGUGAUCGGCCACACUGGAACUGAGACACGGUCCAGACUCCUACGGGAGGCAGCAGUAGGGAAUCUUCCGCAAUGGGCGAAAGCCUGACGGAGCAACGCCGCGUGAGUGAUGAAGGUCUUCGGAUCGUAAAACUCUGUUAUUAGGGAAGAACAUAUGUGUAAGUAACUGUGCACAUCUUGACGGUACCUAAUCAGAAAGCCACGGCUAACUACGUG